UAGUGGCGAACGGGUGAGUAACACGUGAGUAACCUGCCCUUAACUCUGGGAUAAGCCUGGGAAACUGGGUCUAAUACCGGAUAUGACCUUCCAUCGCAUGGUGGUUGGUGGAAAGCUUUUUGUGGUUUUGGAUGGACUCGCGGCCUAUCAGCUUGUUGGUGAGGUAAUGGCUUACCAAGGCGACGACGGGUAGCCGGCCUGAGAGGGUGACCGGCCACACUGGGACUGAGACACGGCCCAGACUCCUACGGGAGGCAGCAGUGGGGAAUAUUGCACAAUGGGCGCAAGCCUGAUGCAGCGACGCCGCGUGAGGGAUGACGGCCUUCGGGUUGUAAACCUCUUUCAGUAGGGAAGAAGCGAAAGUGACGGUACCUGCAGAAGAAGCGCCGGCUAACUACGUGCCAGCAGCCGCGGUAAUACGUAGGGCGCAAGCGUUAUCCGGAAUUAUUGGGCGUAAAGAGCUCGUAGGCGGUUUGUCGCGUCUGCCGUGAAAGUCCGGGGCUCAACUCCGGAUCUGCGGUGGGUACGGGCAGACUAGAGUGAUGUAGGGGAGACUGGAAUUCCUGGUGUAGCGGUGAAAUGCGCAGAUAUCAGGAGGAACACCGAUGGCGAAGGCAGGUCUCUGGGCAUUAACUGACGCUGAGGAGCGAAAGCAUGGGGAGCGAACAGGAUUAGAUACCCUGGUAGUCCAUGCCGUAAACGUUGGGCACUAGGUGUGGGGGACAUUCCACGUUUUCCGCGCCGUAGCUAACGCAUUAAGUGCCCCGCCUGGGGAGUACGGCCGCAAGGCUAAAACUCAAAGGAAUUGACGGGGGCCCGCACAAGCGGCGGAGCAUGCGGAUUAAUUCGAUGCAACGCGAAGAACCUUACCAAGGCUUGACAUGAACCGGUAACGCCUGGAGACAGGUGCCCCGCUUGCGGUCGGUUUACAGGUGGUGCAUGGUUGUCGUCAGCUCGUGUCGUGAGAUGUUGGGUUAAGUCCCGCAACGAGCGCAACCCUCGUUCUAUGUUGCCAGCACGUGAUGGUGGGGACUCAUAGGAGACUGCCGGGGUCAACUCGGAGGAAGGUGGGGACGACGUCAAAUCAUCAUGCCCCUUAUGUCUUGGGCUUCACGCAUGCUACAAUGGCCGGUACAAAGGGUUGCGAUACUGUGAGGUGGAGCUAAUCCCAAAAAGCCGGUCUCAGUUCGGAUUGGGGUCUGCAACUCGACCCCAUGAAGUCGGAGUCGCUAGUAAUCGCAGAUCAGC
This 1248-nucleotide ribosomal RNA is filed under the name Arthrobacter sp. D5-6. Its description in RNAcentral is "bacterial SSU rRNA". It matches the Rfam family "Bacterial small subunit ribosomal RNA", at positions 93 to 1353 of the family's 1533-position model. The record is from RNAcentral. Lineage: Bacteria; Bacillati; Actinomycetota; Actinomycetes; Micrococcales; Micrococcaceae.